This 584-nucleotide ribosomal RNA is filed under the name Cibicidoides lobatulus. Its description in RNAcentral is "bacterial SSU rRNA". It matches the Rfam family "Eukaryotic small subunit ribosomal RNA", at positions 1220 to 1547 of the family's 1831-position model. The record is from RNAcentral. Lineage: Eukaryota; Foraminifera; Rotaliida; Anomalinidae.
GGGUCCGGACACACUGAGGAUUGACAGGCAAUAUUAAUACGUUUUGCUUCGGUAAACGCGUAUUAUGUUAAAUAUGCUAGCCCUUUCAUGAUUAUGUGAUAGGUGGUGCAUGGCCGUUCUUAGUUCGUGGAGUGAUCUGUCUGCUUAAUUGCGUUUCACUAAGGGCCUAUAAAUUUACGUGUGUUGCAUCGCACUUUGACCCCUUUCUUUAAUUAGAGAGCGCGUGUCUUAGUUUUCGCUUUGCUCAUACAAUUAGGUCCUGAAAGCAACGAACGUGACCGCAACCUCUUGUUGCCUUUAUACCAAACAUGUUUUGCGUCAAUUUUUACGAAUUGCGCGCAUUUCAUGAAAAAAGGCUUUUUAAACUAGAGGGACCGCUGUUACUUUCUUAAACCAGAGGAAGGUUGCGGCAAUAACAGGUCUGUGAUGCCCUUAGAUGUUCCGGGCUGCACACGUGCUACAAUGAUUAUUGCAGUGAGCAUCUCAUUUUUACACACCGCAUGCGCGAGUCCAUUUAUUCACCUUCGGGUGUUUUAAAUGUGUAUCUCUGCGCGCGGUAAAGCCUGCUUCGACAGUAAGUGGGU